Molecule: long non-coding RNA, 1313 nt
Filed under: Ursus maritimus (polar bear)
Lineage: Eukaryota; Metazoa; Chordata; Mammalia; Carnivora; Ursidae
Description: lncRNA (ENSUMAG00000019847.1)
Source: RNAcentral
AUGCUGGGGUCCCGGACGCCUCAGAAGGGCUCCGAUAAAAAGCGUGGAAGUCUCAGGAUUCCAGGCAGCUUCCUCCCAGCCUGCUCAGCCCCCGGCGUCCGGCCCGGCGUCCCGCUCACCUGCUGUCAUGGGAACAACGUCGGGACGCAGCAGCAUCUGGAUGCGGCCGGCCGGCUUGUUGCCGAUCUUGAUGUCCAUGUACACCUCCUGGGUUUCCACUUUGGGGGGCUCCGACCCUUCUUCCUCCUUAUUCUCUUCAAGAGUCUUCCCAGAACACUUCUUCAGCCGGUCAUCAUCUGCCCACACCGAAAGGGAAAGAAUGGAACACGUGCUAAGACAUUCAAGCUGUCGGCCAACUGCUCCCUAGCUGUGCCCAGUUCUUUGCUGCCUUGUCAGCAGAGCGGAUGCCCCGUGGGGCUCUCACCGGCAGAAGUUACCUCUUCGGACAGGGAAGCUGUCACUGGAAAUGUCAGGCCUUCAGGUCCCGCUCUCCACAGAGGCAGGGGCAGAUGAGACAAAGGAGGACUGAGCCGAGCCAACAGGGAAGGCCCAGCCACUGUCAAGGCUGGAAGGGCGCAGUCUGUGUCUACAUCCCGGGACAAGGUAAAAUGGGCACAGUGGCUCUAGCUUUGGAGAGAAUCCCCACUCUGUUCCCACGGAGGCACCGCAUUCUCUCCUCCACCGCACAGCUCUCUACCGUGAACAUUCACCGCCGCCCAGGGAGUGAGGCCGGGAUAAAAAGCAGCAGAGGCCAAAGAUGAGCCUUCCUUAAUUCUCACCAGUUUGGCUAAAUGGACACAAAUGGUCCGCCCAAAGAAUUCAAUUCACUAUGAAAACAACUGCAAUACAACUCAGCUGCUUAAACCUUGUUUAGGCUAAAAAAAAAAAAAAAAAAAAAGAUUCCAUUUGCUUCUAAGAAGUCUAUGCUGGGAGCCCACAGCCCCCAACGGCAAGCUAAGCACAAAGCUAACCAUGAACUCCCUAAGCCACCACACACUUCUUUUCUGUCAACACCAACAGGAAGUUCUGUGCUGGCAUGAUCUUCGGAUCUGAGCUCAGAAUUCUGAAAUUAUAAGGGUAAAUGCGGUUACCAUGUAGUGAGGCCACUUUAAAAAAUCAAGAUCGGGGCACCUGGGUGGCUCAAGUCAGUUCAGUGUCUGCCUUUGGCUGAGGUCAUGACCUUGGGGUCCCAGAAUGAGCCCCACAUUAGGCUCCCUGCUCAGCAGGGAGUCGGCUUCUCUUUCUCCCUCCCCCCGCCCCGCUCGUGCUCUCUCUCAAAUAAAUAAAAUCUUUUUUUUUUUUUUAAGAUUUUA